Molecule: ribosomal RNA, 301 nt
Filed under: uncultured bacterium
Lineage: Bacteria
Description: partial 16S ribosomal RNA
Rfam family: Bacterial small subunit ribosomal RNA
Source: RNAcentral
CAGUCGCCGCGGGAAUACGUAGGGCGCAAGCGUUAUCCGGAAUUAUUGGGCGUAAAGAGCUCGUAGGCGGUUUGUCGCGUCUGCCGUGAAAGUCCGGGGCUCAACCCCGGAUCUGCGGUGGGUACGGGCAGACUAGAGUGAUGUAGGGGAGACUGGAAUUCCUGUGUAGCGGUGAAAUGCGCAGAUAUCAGGAGGAACACCGAUGGCGAAGGCAGGUCUCUGGGCAUUAACUGACGCUGAGGAGCGAAAGCAUGGGGAGCGAACAGGAUUAGAUACCCGCGUAGUCCCUGUCUCUUAUACA